GAUGAACGCUGGCGGCGUGCCUAAUACAUGCAAGUCGAGCGAACGGACGAGAAGCUUGCUUCUCUGAUGCUAGCGGCGGACGGGUGAGUAACACGUGGAUAACCUACCUAUAAGACUGGGAUAACUUCGGGAAACCGGAGCUAAUACCGGAUAAUAUUUUGAACCGCAUGGUUCAAAAGUGAAAGACGGUCUUGCUGUCACUUAUAGAUGGAUCCGCGCUGCAUUAGCUAGUUGGUAAGGUAACGGCUUACCAAGGCAACGAUGCAUAGCCGACCUGAGAGGGUGAUCGGCCACACUGGAACUGAGACACGGUCCAGACUCCUACGGGAGGCAGCAGUAGGGAAUCUUCCGCAAUGGGCGAAAGCCUGACGGAGCAACGCCGCGUGAGUGAUGAAGGUCUUCGGAUCGUAAAACUCUGUUAUUAGGGAAGAACAUAUGUGUAAGUAACUGUGCACAUCUUGACGGUACCUAAUCAGAAAGCCACGGCUAACUACGUGCCAGCAGCCGCGGUAAUACGUAGGUGGCAAGCGUUAUCCGGAAUUAUUGGGCGUAAAGCGCGCGUAGGCGGUUUUUUAAGUCUGAUGUGAAAGCCCACGGCUCAACCGUGGAGGGUCAUUGGAAACUGGAAAACUUGAGUGCAGAAGAGGAAAGUGGAAUUCCAUGUGUAGCGGUGAAAUGCGCAGAGAUAUGGAGGAACACCAGUGGCGAAGGCGACUUUCUGGUCUGUAACUGACGCUGAUGUGCGAAAGCGUGGGGAUCAAACAGGAUUAGAUACCCUGGUAGUCCACGCCGUAAACGAUGAGUGCUAAGUGUUAGGGGGUUUCCGCCCCUUAGUGCUGCAGCUAACGCAUUAAGCACUCCGCCUGGGGAGUACGACCGCAAGGUUGAAACUCAAAGGAAUUGACGGGGACCCGCACAAGCGGUGGAGCAUGUGGUUUAAUUCGAAGCAACGCGAAGAACCUUACCAAAUCUUGACAUCCUUUGACAACUCUAGAGAUAGAGCCUUCCCCUUCGGGGGACAAAGUGACAGGUGGUGCAUGGUUGUCGUCAGCUCGUGUCGUGAGAUGUUGGGUUAAGUCCCGCAACGAGCGCAACCCUUAAGCUUAGUUGCCAUCAUUAAGUUGGGCACUCUAAGUUGACUGCCGGUGACAAACCGGAGGAAGGUGGGGAUAACGUCAAAUCAUCAUGCCCCUUAUGAUUUGGGCUACACACGUGCUACAAUGGACAAUACAAAGGGCAGCGAAACCGCGAGGUCAAGCAAAUCCCAUAAAGUUGUUCUCAGUUCGGAUUGUAGUCUGCAACUCGACUACAUGAAGCUGGAAUCGCUAGUAAUCGUAGAUCAGCAUGCUACGGUGAAUACGUUCCCGGGUCU
RNAcentral lists this ribosomal RNA (1372 nucleotides) under uncultured bacterium. Its description in RNAcentral is "bacterial SSU rRNA". It matches the Rfam family "Bacterial small subunit ribosomal RNA", at positions 28 to 1381 of the family's 1533-position model. The record is from RNAcentral.